This 23-nucleotide microRNA is filed under the name Lotus japonicus. Its description in RNAcentral is "lja-miR11077d-3p". Lineage: Eukaryota; Viridiplantae; Streptophyta; Magnoliopsida; Fabales; Fabaceae. The record is from miRBase by way of RNAcentral.
AAAUUCACUCCUCAAUUUCCGUG